UACGUAGGGUGCGAGCGUUUGUCCGGAAUUAUUGGGCGUAAAGAGCUCGUAGGCGGUGUGUCGCGUCGGCCGUGAAAACCUGCAGCUUAACUGUGGGCUUGCGGUCGAUACGGGCAUCACUGGAGUUCGGCAGGGGAGACUGGAAUUCCUGGUGUAGCGGUGAAAUGCGCAGAUAUCAGGAGGAACACCGGUGGCGAAGGCGGGUCUCUGGGGCCGAUGACUGACGCUGAGGAGCGAAAGCGUGGGGAGCGAACAGG
RNAcentral lists this ribosomal RNA (257 nucleotides) under uncultured bacterium. Its description in RNAcentral is "partial 16S ribosomal RNA". It matches the Rfam family "Bacterial small subunit ribosomal RNA", at positions 524 to 776 of the family's 1533-position model. The record is from RNAcentral.